Molecule: ribosomal RNA, 254 nt
Filed under: uncultured microorganism
Description: partial 16S ribosomal RNA
Rfam family: Archaeal small subunit ribosomal RNA
Source: RNAcentral
CACCGGCGGCUCGAGUGGUGGCAACUUUUAUUGGGGCUAAAGCGUCCGUAGCCGGCUUGGCAAGUCCCCUGGGAAAUCUUGCGGCUUAACCGUCAGGCGUCCAGAGGAUACUGCCAGGCUUGGGUCCGGGAGAGGUGAGAGGUACCUCAGGGGUAGGGGUGAAAUCUUGUGAUCCCUGAGGGACCACCAGUGGCGAAGGCGUCUCACUAGAACGGGUCCGACGGUCAGGGACGAAAGCUGGGGGCACGAACCGG